Molecule: non-coding RNA, 94 nt
Organism: Gymnopus androsaceus JB14
Lineage: Eukaryota; Fungi; Basidiomycota; Agaricomycetes; Agaricales; Omphalotaceae
Source: the annotation of a GenBank genome assembly
ACACCGUUGGUAAAGUGGUUAUUAUGCUUACCUUCCACAGAUUUUAGAUGUUGCUGAUGAGCAAGUGGCUCGGGUUCGAUUCCCGAAUGGUUUA